UGUCGGGGUAGAGUGGUUUGCAAAAAAUCAUUCAAAUUAAAAGUCAUAUGAUCAGUGGCGCCAUAAUCAAUUACUUGAGUCAUCCAGAGGCGUGGAGCUAUCAGUAGGGUCUACCUACAGAAACAAGGCUAAUUGGGGUUCAGUAGAGACAAGAGCAACACGGCCGAAACUACUGGCAGUUUCUUUAAGCUUCUGAGCG
RNAcentral lists this long non-coding RNA (199 nucleotides) under Prunus persica (peach). RNAcentral's name for it is "long non-coding RNA (PPER_LNC005012)". Lineage: Eukaryota; Viridiplantae; Streptophyta; Magnoliopsida; Rosales; Rosaceae. The record is from RNAcentral.